This 229-nucleotide ribosomal RNA is filed under the name uncultured bacterium. Its description in RNAcentral is "partial 16S ribosomal RNA". It matches the Rfam family "Bacterial small subunit ribosomal RNA", at positions 568 to 796 of the family's 1533-position model. The record is from RNAcentral.
UGCGUAGGCGGAUAGAUAAGUCAGAGGUGAAAGCCUCCCGCUCAACGGGAGAACUGCCUUCGAUACUGUUUAUCUUGAAUGAGGUUGAGGUUAGCGGAAUGUGACAUGUAGCGGUGAAAUGCAUAGAUAUGUCAUAGAACACCAAUUGCGUAGGCAGCUAGCUAGGCCUUUAUUGACGCUGAGGCACGAAAGCAUGGGGAGCGAACAGGAUUAGAUACCCUGGUAGUCC